This 30-nucleotide transfer RNA is filed under the name Zelkova serrata. RNAcentral's name for it is "partial tRNA-His". RNAcentral also lists the same sequence under 8 other names. Lineage: Eukaryota; Viridiplantae; Streptophyta; Magnoliopsida; Rosales; Ulmaceae. The record is from RNAcentral.
GGCGGAUGUAGCCAAGUGGAUUAAGGCAAU